GUGACUUCUAGUUCUUCCUGGAGGCUUUCUAUUUCCAUUGCAAGAUUUGGUGUCAGUAUUAACAACUGCAAGUGAAGGUUGCCCUGUAAGCUUCUCUUCUUCCUGCCACUCAGAAUUUCUAUUAUUCAUCUCUGUCUUACCCUUUACAUUCAAACACUUUGCCCUUAGCAAAGCCUCUUUGCAUUCAAUCUCAUGCUCCAGUGAUUUUAUUCUCUUUCUCCCCA
RNAcentral lists this unclassified non-coding RNA (224 nucleotides) under Hevea brasiliensis (rubber tree). Lineage: Eukaryota; Viridiplantae; Streptophyta; Magnoliopsida; Malpighiales; Euphorbiaceae. The record is from RNAcentral.